UACGGGGGGGGGCAAGCGUUGUUCGGAAUUACUGGGCGUAAAGGGUUCGUAGGUGGCUCGCUAAGCCAGACGUGAAAUCCCUCAGCUUAACUGGGGAACUGCGUCUGGGACUGGCGAGCUCGAGUGCGGGAGAGGAAUGCGGAAUUCCAGGUGUAGCGGUGAAAUGCGUAGAUAUCUGGAGGAACACCGGUGGCGAAGGCGGCAUUCUGGACUGCAACUGACACUGAGGAACGAAAGCCAGGGGAGCAAACGGG
RNAcentral lists this ribosomal RNA (254 nucleotides) under uncultured bacterium. Its description in RNAcentral is "partial 16S ribosomal RNA". It matches the Rfam family "Bacterial small subunit ribosomal RNA", at positions 524 to 776 of the family's 1533-position model. The record is from RNAcentral.